This 696-nucleotide long non-coding RNA is filed under the name Homo sapiens (human). Its description in RNAcentral is "HSALNT0087645". The record is from RNAcentral. Lineage: Eukaryota; Metazoa; Chordata; Mammalia; Primates; Hominidae.
AAAAGAGACCUAGAUUCCACUGUCAAAGAUACUGUACACAUCAACUCCUUACUGGAGUCUACUUUAAGCAGCCACUUGCCAAGAUAGAGAUUUGACCAGGUUACAGAAGAUACUGGGGAUAGAGCUGAGAAAAUAUUCAGGGACUGUCACUUGAAAAGGAGAUUAGUCAGCACAAUUAUAACUUUGCAAUCUAGGUUAUUGUUUUGACACAGGCAUUUUGAUUCUUUUCCCUCCUCCUCCAUCAUAUCAAUAGCCAGGCUCUGAUGGUCAAGCUCUAGAGCCUACCAUUAAAGCUUAGGAUAGUCAGGAAAAAGGGAGGCUAUCAGUAAUGAAUUGAUGCCCUAGCAAUCUCCAAUGGUGCCAAAAAUGAGCUUAUAUUUGGAAAGAAAACUACCUGGGAAAAUACUUUCUACCCUGCCAUAAACCCUGGACACUUAGGAGAAAGAUGGAAGACACUGGGAUCAAAGCAAAUCGAGGAAAAAAUUCAAGUGAAGAGACUGGAAAUUAAGAGAGUCCAUACUGGAUGAUUUUUCAGUAAAGAAUUGCGCAAUACAAAGGGUGAGUAAUGAACAUGGAAAGAUGCAAGGAGACAGCAAUAUGCUAUGUUUUUAAAGAUCAGUCUGCAGCGUAGAAGGAGGCCGGGUGACUGAGCCUCUGAGGUCUCUGGGCCUGUGUUGUCUGGGGAAUUGCAAGAAA